UGGCUCUACCGUCCGGCCUCCAUAGACAUUCUUUCGGAAACCACUUGACUGGCGAGGACAUCCGACUGACAUUCUUGGCGGCGCACAAAUCAUCAAGGGCUUGGUGUGAAACACGAUGUUGGCACUGUAGCCUGACUUGGAGCAGGAGAUGCUGCACUCCCCUCCCAGCUCCACCCAUGGCACAGUCAGGAUCGACCUGGAGGCAAAAACUCAGAACUCGUCGGCAUCAUAGAACUCGUCCUCGCUGGAGGAGUAGGAGAAGUCUGGCACUGCGUG
Lampris incognitus (smalleye Pacific opah) is the source of this 276-nucleotide long non-coding RNA. RefSeq lists it as uncharacterized. Lineage: Eukaryota; Metazoa; Chordata; Actinopteri; Lampriformes; Lampridae. The record is from RefSeq and is a predicted model, not a curated record. The transcript is spliced from 3 exons.